Branchiostoma floridae (Florida lancelet) is the source of this 1067-nucleotide long non-coding RNA. RefSeq lists it as uncharacterized. The transcript is spliced from 2 exons. Lineage: Eukaryota; Metazoa; Chordata; Leptocardii; Amphioxiformes; Branchiostomatidae. The record is from RefSeq and is a predicted model, not a curated record.
GGUAUUUUGGGAUAUCAAGUUGACGGACGGAGAUCUCAAACUGCAUUAUAAUGAAAAAAAAAUGCAAUUUGAAACCACCGUCCAUCAACGUGAUGUCCCUAAAUAUCCUGUUUGUAGCUACAACGGAUAUAGGUUACCCCGCGAAUAAAGGUGAACUAGCGUUAUACAGUGUCUCUUAUAUGUAUACAAUCAAAUGUAACUAAUGGUUGCUAUUCAAUCACAAUGCUAGUUCACCUUCAAUGUAGGGUAACCUAUAUAUUAAAAAUAUAUAUAUUCAAAACAGUGUAUUAAGGGAUGUCAAGUCGAUGUUGGAUUUAUAAACUGCAAGUAUUUUGCAAAUAUUGUAAUUUAAAAGCAACGUCCAUCCACUUGAUAUCCCUAAAUACCGUGUUUCAUAAUAUCACAUUUUUAACAUAACCUUUUGAUAUCAUAUUCAACAAAAAAAGAACUGUACAAAAACUGUACACAUUCGAAAAUGUUGACAUCCACACAGUACCUGUAAGAGUUUUUAUGAUACAGAAAAAAAUCGAAAGUUUACUAAUAAUAAGAGGGUUUGUAAACAACAUCACCUACCCACAUGCACAUCCGAGUCUUAGAAUGGUAUCUGCUUUAGAUUAUCAAUUUCUCAAAACAUGUCAAUCUCAUACUAAAUCUGAACCAAAAUAAAAGACUGCACAUCAUUCAACAGGGAUGUGUAUUGGUACUUGCAGUUACAGUAUCGAGAAUAUCAGGUACAGAUCACAAAAUACUGGAUGUGAACAGACCAACAAUCAAGUAUUAUAUUUGUAACAUAUUCUGGUACUAAGAGCAUGUUACUUACUCCUACCACAAAGAUCAAAAUUUACCACUGGAAAAGGAUGAAAACAUUUGUUUAGCCAUUGAAAUCAACACCACCUUUGUUUAUAGGGAUUCCCUAGAAAGCACACGUUUCCGAAUGAGAUACUAAAUAACAUUCUGUUCACUUUUUAACCAUGUAUCUGUCCUCGAUGAAAAAUGUUUACUUUGUCAAGUUUUCAGAUAGACAGGCCGCUAUAGACAGGUUUGACUUCCUUGUAUACUUACCCCCC